This 492-nucleotide ribosomal RNA is filed under the name uncultured bacterium. RNAcentral's name for it is "partial 16S ribosomal RNA". It matches the Rfam family "Bacterial small subunit ribosomal RNA", at positions 29 to 507 of the family's 1533-position model. The record is from RNAcentral.
AGUGAACGCUGGCGGUAGGCCUAACACAUGCAAGUCGAACGGCAGCACAGUAAGAGCUUGCUCUUACGGGUGGCGAGUGGCGGACGGGUGAGGAAUACAUCGGAAUCUACUUUUUCGUGGGGGAUAACGUAGGGAAACUUACGCUAAUACCGCAUACGACCUACGGGUGAAAGCAGGGGAUCUUCGGACCUUGCGCGAUUGAAUGAGCCGAUGUCGGAUUAGCUAGUUGGCGGGGUAAAGGCCCACCAAGGCGACGAUCCGUAGCUGGUCUGAGAGGAUGAUCAGCCACACUGGAACUGAGACGCGGUCCAGACUCCUACGGGAGGCAGCAGUGGGGAAUAUUGGACAAUGGGCGCGAGCCUGAUCCAGCCAUACCGCGUGGGUGAAGAAGGCCUUCGGGUUGUAAAGCCCUUUUGUUGGGAAAGAAAAGCAGCAGGUUAAUACCCCGCUGUUCUGACGGUACCCAAAGAAUAAGCACCGGCUAACUUCGUG